GGUCUAAUUUGUUCAAUGUCUCUGUGAACUGGAAGAAGGACGAAUCUGAUGGACUGGAUCAGGUGUGGAACUUGUAACACAAAUACGAUAAUCAAACACAUUUCUUAAUUGCAAAUCAAUAAUCUAUCCGUGCUUGUGUCUCAGCUGGUGGACAUCAUGAUGAUGGGUUUCCAGAACAAAUUCUACAACGCCAGCAAGAAGGAGCCAGGACAGAGCUCUAAACCAGGCUCGGGGGAAUAUCGUAUCAACAUGUCCAGUGACACACCCCACUGGUAUAUCAGAGACUACCUGGCCAGAGUCAGCGGCCACUAUGACAUCAGUGGCAUUGAGGUUGAUGAUCUGGACGAGUGUAAGGCCAAGGAGGCGUUGUGUGUCUCUCCAGCCCUGUGUGCCAACACCUACGGAGGCUACAGGUGUGUCUGCAACGGCACUGAUCUGGAUGAAACCCAGUCCUGUGUAUUAGGGCGAGGCAAGGGGGGCGAUGUGGAGCUGGACCUUGUUCUGGGCCUGGUUCUGGGCAUCGGCAUCCCUCUGCUCCUGCUGCUCCUCCUGGCUGCACUGGCCUGCUUCUGCUGCUGCAAGAAGACUGUGACUGGGGACCUCCCCCACUUGUUGCCAGACCACAUCCAGGAGCAGCACAACCCCCCGCCCUUCAACUACUCGGACCCUGCCCUGCAGUACAUGACCCACUGCAGCCCUCGGAUCAUAGACAACAUCACACCCAGGCAGCGCCUCAGAUAG
RNAcentral lists this long non-coding RNA (741 nucleotides) under Scophthalmus maximus (turbot). RNAcentral describes it as "lncRNA (ENSSMAG00000015353.2)". The record is from RNAcentral. Lineage: Eukaryota; Metazoa; Chordata; Actinopteri; Pleuronectiformes; Scophthalmidae.